This is a long non-coding RNA of Dromaius novaehollandiae (emu), 2169 nucleotides long. Lineage: Eukaryota; Metazoa; Chordata; Aves; Casuariiformes; Dromaiidae. The record is from Ensembl.
CGGGCCGUGCCGGGCCCGGAGCGUGCUUAGUCCCCGCGCGGCAGGAGCGCCGGUGAAGGCCGUGGCGGGGCGCGGCAGCUGCCGGCAUGGCGGGGCCCGUGGGGCCCGGAGCCGGCCCUGCCUGCAGCCUCCCGGGCGAUCGGCUCCCUGGGCCGGUGCUGCCACCCGUGUGAGCCCCCAGCCUUGCGUUUCCUGGCGCGGCCUUGUUCGCCGGUGCUGCGCGGCCUAAGCCGGGAGACGCAACUGAGCCCUGAUGCGGGUGUGGAGGCUUUUCCUCCUUGCCUUUCAGCAGUUUGCCCCAUGAGCUCAUGCUGCUGUGACCCGGGUCUGGAGAAGAACUGCUCUUCCUUCUUCUUUCCUGUACUUCAGUAGCUGAUAAGAAAGCCUGGGAACUGGGAAGGAGGUCAACCCUCCCGUCAGAUGUAGGGCUUGGUUCAGGGGAUGAGAGUCCUGUCAGGCAGUUGACACUACAGGAUGAGUCACUAGGCUUGCUGAAUCCAAGUUGGAGGCUCAGAUGUGGGCAGUGCACAGAAAGAGGAAUUGCUCUUUGAGUGCAAGCUCUCAGGUUCCUGGAGCAGCAGCACAGCGUUGCUAAUGACACAGCUGUGCAGAUGGUGACUUUCUGGGUAACCAUGAGUGGAAGGGGUAGAGCUGUGGGUGAGAGUUCUUGGCUGUCUGAGCAAUAACUGUAGAAUCUUCUAAAGUUACAUAAUCUGAAAUGGCAAGAUUUUGAUCUUACUUGAUGAGUUGAAGGUAUCCCUCCUUCCUGUUCUUCUACUGCAAACUGGAGAGAAAAGAGGGCUAGAAUGAAAAAUGACAGAAACCAUCAAAAAUACAGAGCUAUUCUGAAGAAAGAAAAGCGGAAAAAAAAGCGUCAGGCACUUGCCAAACUGAGAGAUUCAGAAGCUACAGAAAAAGAUGAAUCAAUGUCUGAGGAGGAAGAAGAGGAACUGGAAGAAGAGGAAGAAGAAGAAGAAGAAGAAAAAAAACUUGAGGCAGAAAGACAAAAACUACAUGAGCAGUGGUUGCUAAGAGAAGAAAAGGCCCAAGAAGAGUUCAAACUUAAGAAAGAAAAAGAAGAGGCUGCAAGAAAACGUCAAGAAGAAGAAGAGGUGAUGUAUCAAAUGAGGAUUAUAGUUGUGUCUGGCAGUAAGGAAAAUUUACUGUAAUAUGUUCUACUUUUCCUUAGCAGACCUAGUUUUCUCAACAUUGAUAUGUUUGAAAGUAUACGCUCUUCUGUCUUUUUUUUUCCACUGUAGAAGAGCAAAAUUAACACUUUUCUAGUUAAAUUUCUUUUUAAAAAAAGGUUUUUCAAAAAGGUUUUUCUCCAGAGAUUUGUUUACUUAUGACUGAAUGAAAACUCAAUGAUCAAAGAGUACACAACAUGAUAGUUUUUAACUUGGCUACAGUGAUUUUAAAGCAUUCAUUCGUUUUCUGUAUUUUUUUUGUCCUAAAGAGAAAGAUCAAAGAAGAAUGGGAAGAACAACAAAGAAAAGUAAGAGAAGUGGCACAGCAGAAGCAACAGCAGAAGAGAGAAAGAGAGGUGAUUCCUGUAGUGGGAGGAUAAACAUGUUACAUAUCCUCUCACAUUAUCAGAUGCAACAGUCUACGCAUGUUAAAGAAGCAUUUUAUUCUAUUCUAAUUAGGAAUGCAUAAAUGUUACUUCCUCUCUCCAUUCUAUCUAAAUUGCUGAAAAUAUACUUCAUCGAUAUAGAUGAAUCUAAUGAAUUCAUACACCUGGAAGGAUAACUAAUUUUAAUGUAUCUGGUUGCUCGUAAUACGUUUCCUCUGUAGUUUUUUUAUGUCAGCUAAACAUGAAGGUGCAUUCUCAAAGCAAGUUCUGAUAUGUUCCCUUUUUGCAUUUUGUGUUAAAGAUAAUCCUUAUUUAAUGUCUUAUAUGAACACAGUCAGUGUUGAAGAAAAUUCCUGAUGAGGGUAUGGAAUAUGGCAUUACAUUGCUGCUGUUCCUUAACAUAGUUCUUAAUCAAAAGAUAUAUUGCAGCUCUGCUUUACCUGACUCAUCCAACAGGACGUAUCUUUUUUUUUUCAGAGCUCCUUGGGUGGGAAAGAAAAAUAUACUGAAGAUAUUAGUCAUUGAUGGAAUUUCUGUUAACUGUACAUUCUUCCUAAGUUUUAGAAUUUGAAUGACUGGGAUGUGAGAUGCCCUGU